This 637-nucleotide long non-coding RNA is filed under the name Citrus x clementina. Its description in RNAcentral is "Citrus clementina (C. clementina) long non-coding RNA (CCLE_LNC003462)". The record is from RNAcentral. Lineage: Eukaryota; Viridiplantae; Streptophyta; Magnoliopsida; Sapindales; Rutaceae.
UCUUCAAAAGACGUUCCUUCUUAGCAGCUCUAUCCUCAGGCCUGUACUUGAGGAGCAACUUGAAAAGACUUGAGGCUGCAAACAGGAUGCAAUGGAAAUAGUAAGAUAAGCUAUUACAAGUUCAAUUCUCUAGUCUCUGAGAAUAUGAAGACAGAAAUGCUCAGAGUUAAUCAUAAGUGACAGAACAAUCGCAGCUGCAUGGUACAUAGAUACACUAAAAACAGACAUAUUAUGGCAAAGAUGAAGACUAUUGACACAGCAUUAUAACCACAACAGCUAAUCAACCCUUAGCUUCCCAGCUUACACACAAUUACUCUCAUGUAAAGGCCCUUUCUUUUUAUUUUUCACUUUUUUCUUACAUUCUCAAUGCCAAAAGUUCAUAAUAUAUUCACCCACAAAGAAAAGAAAUAUAUCAGUUUUGAAAAUAAAAUCUGCUGGAUUGACAGUUAGGCAAAUCCAAGGAAAUGCGAAAGCAAAGCCAUCUAAUAUAAUCUUACCAAGAUUCUUGUCCAAAGUCUUGGUGAAUUGGUUCAAAGCAGGUGGAACCUUCAACCUCUGCCUGAGGAUCCUCCUCUGCCUCUGAAUACGAAUAGCCUUGGGCCACUUCACAUAACGGUGAAGAUCCUUCUUCGGCGGC